Molecule: long non-coding RNA, 493 nt
Organism: Oncorhynchus keta (chum salmon)
Lineage: Eukaryota; Metazoa; Chordata; Actinopteri; Salmoniformes; Salmonidae
Exons: 3
Source: RefSeq, a predicted model, not a curated record
GUAUGAUAGGUGUUGUUUUACAGGGUCAGACAUAGUAGUAUGAUAGGUGUUGUUUUACAGGGUCAGUCAUAGUAGUAUGAUAGGUGUUGUUUUACAGGGUCAGUCAUAGUAGUAUGAUAGGUGUUGUUUUACAGGGUCAGUCAUAGUAGUAUGAUAGGUGUUGUUUUACAGGGUCAUAGUAGUAUGAUAGGUGUUGUUUUACAGGGUCAGACAUAGUAGUAUGAUAGGUGUUGUUUUACAGGGUCAGUCAUAGUAGUAUGAUAGGUGUUGUUUUACAGGGUCAGUCAUAGUAGUAUGAUAGGUGUUGUUUUACAGGGUCAGUCAUAGUAGUAGUAUGAUAGGUGUUGUUUUACAGGGUCAGUCAUAGUGGUAUGAUAGGUGUUGUUUUACAGGGUCAGUCUUAGUAGUAUGAUAGGUGUUGUUUUACAGGGUCAUUCAUAGUAGUAUGGCGUCCCUAGAGCAAAUUAGGGAUAAGUGCCUUGCUCAAGUGCAC